CCUACGGGAGGCAGCAGUGGGGAAUCUUGCGCAAUGGGCGAAAGCCUGACGCAGCCAUGCCGCGUGAAUGAUGAAGGUCUUAGGAUUGUAAAAUUCUUUCACCGGGGACGAUAAUGACGGUACCCGGAGAAGAAGCCCCGGCUAACUUCGUGCCAGCAGCCGCGGUAAUACGAAGGGGGCUAGCGUUGCUCGGAAUUACUGGGCGUAAAGGGAGCGUAGGCGGAUAGUUUAGUCAGAGGUGAAAGCCCAGGGCUCAACCUUGGAAUUGCCUUUGAUACUGGCUAUCUUGAGUACGGAAGAGGUAUGUGGAACUCCGAGUGUAGAGGUGAAAUUCGUAGAUAUUCGGAAGAACACCAGUGGCGAAGGCGACAUACUGGUCCGUUACUGACGCUGAGGCUCGAAAGCGUGGGGAGCAAACAGGAUUAGAUACCCUGGUAGUCCACGCUGUAAACGAUGAGUGCUAGUUGUCGGCAUGCAUGCAUGUCGGUGACGCAGCUAACGCAUUAAGCNCNCGCCNGGAGUACGGUCGCAGAUAAACUACAAGAAGUAGUAGACGNGAGAGAGCGACGACGACGACGACGGAGGAGGAG
RNAcentral lists this ribosomal RNA (590 nucleotides) under uncultured bacterium. RNAcentral describes it as "bacterial SSU rRNA". The stretch from base 1 to 516 matches the Rfam family "Bacterial small subunit ribosomal RNA", at positions 338 to 873 of the family's 1533-position model. The record is from RNAcentral.